Molecule: transfer RNA, 57 nt
Filed under: Polyacanthorhynchus caballeroi
Lineage: Eukaryota; Metazoa; Acanthocephala; Polyacanthocephala; Polyacanthorhynchidae
Description: tRNA-Leu
Source: RNAcentral
GACAAUAUGUCAGAUGGUAUGAGUCAGAUUUAAGUUUUGGUUAUAUGGUUGUUUUCU